UUCCAGACUCCUACGGGAGGCAGCAGUGGGGAAUAUUGCACAAUGGGGGAAACCCUGAUGCAGCGACGCCGCGUGAGUGAAGAAGUAUUUCGGUAUGUAAAGCUCUAUCAGCAGGGAAGAAAAUGACGGUACCUGAUUAAGAAGCCCCGGCUAACUACGUGCCAGCAGCCGCGGUAAUACGUAGGGGGCAAGCGUUAUCCGGAUUUACUGGGUGUAAAGGGUGCGUAGGUGGCAUGGCAAGUCAGAAGUGAAAGCCCGGGGCUCAACCCCGCGGACUGCUUUUGAAACUGUCAGGCUGGAGUACAGGAGAGGUAAGCGGAAUUCCUAGUGUAGCGGUGAAAUGCGUAGAUAUUAGGAGGAACACCAGUGGCGAAGGCGGCUUACUGGACUGUAACUGACACUGAGGCACGAAAGCGUGGGGAGCAAACAGGAUUAGAUACCCGAGUA
RNAcentral lists this ribosomal RNA (447 nucleotides) under uncultured bacterium. RNAcentral describes it as "bacterial SSU rRNA". It matches the Rfam family "Bacterial small subunit ribosomal RNA", at positions 329 to 792 of the family's 1533-position model. The record is from RNAcentral.